RNAcentral lists this long non-coding RNA (896 nucleotides) under Marmota monax (woodchuck). Lineage: Eukaryota; Metazoa; Chordata; Mammalia; Rodentia; Sciuridae. The record is from RNAcentral.
AAGUAGUGUUUGGUCAAGUGUUACUUGGUCAAAAUGACUAAAUCCACCUCAUAGAGUGUUCCAGGAACCUUACCCAUAAGAAAAUAAAUGCUUCUGUUUUAACUUAGACUCCAUAAAAAUUAAAAUUGUUUUGGAAGAAGGAAUGGCUUCCCUGUAACAUGAUGGAUAUUCAACAGCUCAGAUGGAUUUGGCGGGCAGCAUCCAUCCACCUCGAAAAGGAAAACAGAAAACAGGGGUAAGAUGACUCCUGAGGCCCAGACCAUGCGCUCUUACCCAAGUUCAAGAAAAACUUCCUAGCUAAUGCUUAACUUGUUAUCACAACCCCUUUUGAUUUUCCAGAACUUCCUAGCUAUUUUUUAACCAUUUCCAAUCAGAAAAAUGUGACAGAUGGCAUUCAAAGCCAGCCACGAGGUCUCCAAGCCCUCGACUUGAUGAACUUGGCAAAUUCCUCCUUGUUUUUAUCCUUUGCAGACUUUGAAAAGUCUAGAGGUCAAAAGGGGUUUAGCCAUCUGUAACGUCACGCCACGGUCAAAGUCUACGUUUCUGGAUGGUCAUUUCAAAAGAAGAAAAUAAGAGAUGGGAAAUCGGUCAUCAGUGUAACAAACAGGCAGGUCCUGCGAGAAACAGAGGUGGCGGGGGCAGGCAGACAGGACACACACUCCCAGGUUAAAAAAAAAAAAAAGUCACAUUAUCAAUGAAAAGGAGAAGGAGUAGGCUGUGCACCCCAAACGACAAGACCUUUAAGGAACCCUAGUCAAAAUAUUUCUCAUUUAUGCAAAUUUACACCUCAUAAGAAAACAUAAAUAAACCAUGAUUCUUGUCCUAAUUUUUUAACAUCAACUUUGCUGACAAGAUCAGGAAACCCUGGCCAAACAUCUGCAUCAAAUGAUAAAUUC